AUUUCCCUCUUUCUUCAUUCUUUACACAUGCAAGUCGAACGGCAGCGCGGGCUUCGGCCUGGCGGCGAGUGGCGAACGGGUGAGUAAUACAUCGGAACGUGCCCAGUAGUGGGGGAUAGCUCGGCGAAAGCCGGAUUAAUACCGCAUACGACCUGAGGGUGAAAGCGGGGGAUCUUCGGACCUCGCGCUAUUGGAGCGGCCGAUGGCAGAUUAGCUAGUUGGUGGGGUAAAGGCCUACCAAGGCGACGAUCUGUAGCUGGUCUGAGAGGACGACCAGCCACACUGGGACUGAGACACGGCCCAGACUCCUACGGGAGGCAGCAGUGGGGAAUUUUGGACAAUGGGCGAAAGCCUGAUCCAGCAAUGCCGCGUGUGUGAUGAAGGCCUUCGGGUUGUAAAGCACUUUUGGCGGGAACGAAAAGGACUGUGCCAAUACCACGGUUCGAUGACGGUACCCGCAGAAUAAGCACCGGCUAACUACGUG
Molecule: ribosomal RNA, 484 nt
Filed under: uncultured bacterium
Lineage: Bacteria
Description: partial 16S ribosomal RNA
Rfam family: Bacterial small subunit ribosomal RNA
Source: RNAcentral